RNAcentral lists this ribosomal RNA (430 nucleotides) under Bacillota bacterium. Its description in RNAcentral is "Firmicutes bacterium partial 16S ribosomal RNA". It matches the Rfam family "Bacterial small subunit ribosomal RNA", at positions 355 to 776 of the family's 1533-position model. Lineage: Bacteria; Bacillati; Bacillota. The record is from RNAcentral.
UGGGGAAUAUUGGACAAUGGGCGCAAGCCUGAUCCAGCCAUGCCGCGUGUGUGAAGAAGGCCUUUUGGUUGUAAAGCACUGUAAGCGAGGAGGAGGCUACCGAGAUUAAUACUCUUGGAUAGUGGACGUUACUCGCAGAAUAAGCACCGGCUAACUCUGUGCCAGCAGCCGCGGUAAUACAGAGGGUGCGAGCGUUAAUCGGAUUUACUGGGCGUAAAGCGUGCGUAGGCGGCUUUUUAAGUCGGAUGUGAAAUCCCUGAGCUUAACUUAGGAAUUGCAUUCGAUACUGGGAAGCUAGAGUAUGGGAGAGGAUGGUAGAAUUCCAGGUGUAGCGGUGAAAUGCGUAGAGAUCUGGAGGAAUACCGAUGGCGAAGGCAGCCAUCUGGCCUAAUACUGCCGCUGAGGUACGAAAGCAUGGGGAGCAAACAGG